UCUGACCGAGCACGCCGCGUGAGUGAAGAAGGUUUUCGGAUCGUAAAACUCUGUUGUUAGAGAAGAACAAGGAUGAGAGUAGAACGUUCAUCCCUUGACGGUAUCUAACCAGAAAGCCACGGCUAACUACGUGCCAGCAGCCGCGGUAAUACGUAGGUGGCAAGCGUUGUCCGGAUUUAUUGGGCGUAAAGCGAGCGCAGGCGGUUUCUUAAGUCUGAUGUGAAAGCCCCCGGCUCAACCGGGGAGGGUCAUUGGAAACUGGGAGACUUGAGUGCAGAAGAGGAGAGUGGAAUUCCAUGUGUAGCGGUGAAAUGCGUAGAUAUAUGGAGGAACACCAGUGGCGAAGGCGGCUCUCUGGUCUGUAACUGACGCUGAGGCUCGAAAGCGUGGGGAGCGAACAGGAUUAGAUACCCUGGUAGUCCACGCCGUAAACGAUGAGUGCUAAGUGUUGGAGGGUUUCCGCCCUUCAGUGCUGCAGCAAACGCAUUAAGCACUCCGCCUGGGGAGUACGACCGCAAGGUUGAAACUCAAAGGAAUUGACGGGGGCCCGCACAAGCGGUGGAGCAUGUGGUUUAAUUCGAAGCAACGCGAAGAACCUUACCAGGUCUUGACAUCCUUUGACCACUCUAGAGAUAGAGCUUCCCCUUCGGGGGCAAAGUGACAGGUGGUGCAUGGUUGUCGUCAGCUCGUGUCGUGAGAUGUUGGGUUAAGUCCCGCAACGAGCGCAACCCUUAUUGUUAGUUGCCAUCAUUUAGUUGGGCACUCUAGCGAGACUGCCGGUGACAAACCGGAGGAAGGUGGGGAUGACGUCAAAUCAUCAUGCCCCUUAUGACCUGGGCUACACACGUGCUACAAUGGGAAGUACAACGAGUUGCGAAGUCGCGAGGCUAAGCUAAUCUCUUAAAGCUUCUCUCAGUUCGGAUUGUAGGCUGCAACUCGCCUACAUGAAGCCGGAAUCGCUAGU
Molecule: ribosomal RNA, 964 nt
Filed under: Enterococcus gallinarum
Lineage: Bacteria; Bacillati; Bacillota; Bacilli; Lactobacillales; Enterococcaceae
Description: bacterial SSU rRNA
Rfam family: Bacterial small subunit ribosomal RNA
Source: RNAcentral